AGGUCCAUCCUAAUCCCUGCUGGCUAGCCAGUGGCCUGAGGGUUCGCUUGUAGACCAGAGCACCCUGGACACCCACCCAGGAAGACCGGGCUGCUGUGCCCUGGCCUGGGGGUGAGUUUCUGGACAUCG
Molecule: small nucleolar RNA, 129 nt
Filed under: Sorex araneus (European shrew)
Lineage: Eukaryota; Metazoa; Chordata; Mammalia; Eulipotyphla; Soricidae
Source: RNAcentral